This 74-nucleotide transfer RNA is filed under the name Paludibacteraceae bacterium. RNAcentral's name for it is "tRNA-Arg". It matches the Rfam family "tRNA". Rfam says of the family: Transfer RNA (tRNA) molecules are approximately 80 nucleotides in length. RNAcentral also lists the same sequence under 1 other name. Lineage: Bacteria; Pseudomonadati; Bacteroidota; Bacteroidia; Bacteroidales; Paludibacteraceae. The record is from RNAcentral.
GGUUGAGUAGCUCAACUGGAUAGAGCAACAGCCUUCUAAGCUGUAGGUUAAGGGUUCGAGUCCCUUCUCAAUCA